Molecule: ribosomal RNA, 492 nt
Filed under: uncultured bacterium
Lineage: Bacteria
Description: partial 16S ribosomal RNA
Rfam family: Bacterial small subunit ribosomal RNA
Source: RNAcentral
AGUGAACGCUGGCGGUAGGCCUAACACAUGCAAGUCGAACGGCAGCACAGUAAGAGCUUGCUCUUACGGGUGGCGAGUGGCGGACGGGUGAGGAAUACAUCGGAAUCUACUUUUUCGUGGGGGAUAACGUAGGGAAACUUACGCUAAUACCGCAUCCGACCUACGGGUGAAAGCAGGGGAUCUUCGGACCUUGCGCGAUUGAAUGAGCCGAUGUCGGAUUAGCUAGUUGGCGGGGUAAAGGCCCACCAAGGCGACGAUCCGUAGCUGGUCUGAGAGGAUGAUCAGCCACACUGGAACUGAGACACGGUCCAGACUCCUACGGGAGGCAGCAGUGGGGAAUAUUGGACAAUGGGCGCAAGCCUGAUCCAGCCAUACCGCGUGGGUGAAGAAGGCCUUCGGGUUGUAAAGCCCUUUUGUUGGGAAAGAAAAGCAGCAGGCUAAUACCCCGCUGUUCUGACGGUACCCAAAGAAUAAGCACCGGCUAACUUCGUG